This 4269-nucleotide long non-coding RNA is filed under the name Panax ginseng (ginseng). RNAcentral's name for it is "long non-coding RNA (PGIN_LNC008551)". Lineage: Eukaryota; Viridiplantae; Streptophyta; Magnoliopsida; Apiales; Araliaceae. The record is from RNAcentral.
UUGGUUAGUUUGUAUAAUAGACAAAGAACACGUUAGAUAAACUUGCAGAAGAUAAGGUGCAGCAGAUAACCUAGGGUGGCUUGGUAGAAGUUAAAAUGAACUAGACUAGUAUUGAUUGCUCCCAGUUUGGUAGGGAGGCUGGUAGGGGCUGGCAAGGGGCAAAGCUUGGCAUUGACCAGAGAAAGAAAAGUUCAGCUAUUUAAAUUCAUGUCCCACCCCUUAACUGACUUCCCAAGGCUUUAACACCGUAAGAAAGAAAAAGAGAGCCGAUUGAUAGUGAGGUAAGAAGAACUCGGCUAGAGCAGGAAAAAGAAGUGAACAACAAUCAAGUGCAACCUCUAAGCUACUAAGGUAAUCUUUUCCAUCUUCUUUCUAUUCCAUUUCGUGCCAUUGGUGCUCUGUUUUGGCCGAAUGGCCUUGAAUAGACAUAAGGGGCAGUUGUGCUAAUUUUUAUGCUAUGUGUACUGUUGUGAUUUGGAACUGUAAUGUAUCACAUUAUGUUUGUUAUUAUUUAAGUCAUAAGGCUGGGAUCACUAAGCUAAGAAUAAAUGUAUUGUAUGGGUAGAUAUGAACUGCACCCCAAUUGUUUGGUGAAAUGUCAGUUAAUACAUGGUUGGAGUCAACAAUUUUGGAAAAAGAGUGCAGUCAAGUCUAGUUCUAUGCUAAUAAUAUAUAUUGAAUUCCUAAAGAUGCAAAGAUGCUAAGAUAGCAGUUUUGCAUGAACAUAAGAUGUUUAUAACUGAUUGUAUACCAGUCCAUAUAUGAUCUAAGCAUUUAACUAUGACUAAGCCAUUGUUUUAAGGAUUUUGCAUGCCAGACUAAAGGUUGAGAAUGACUGAUUUGGUAUAAGCUAUUCUAUGUCAUCCAAACAUAUACUAUGCAUAAAAAAGAGAUAAUAUAAGCUUCUAUGUUGCACACUUAUGCUACCUUUGUAAGCAUGUUGGUGAACCAUGUUUGUUUUGAAGUUAAAUACCAAAGAAGGCUGUGUUGGCCUAAAACAUAAAGACCAUGACUUAGAUGCUUUAAAACAUGAAAAGUUGGUAGAUAGAAGGUACAUGUGUGAGCAAGGCAUAUAUAUUAGUGCUUGCUACCAUUUGGUGUAAAAGCCUUGCCGAAAAUGCUUGUCUAAAACUGUUAGAAUGGCAAAAACAGUAUGGCUGGGAAGGAAGUACAAAAUGGUGGUUAAACUCUAACAUAAAAUGUAACUAUGCUUCAAGUACACUCUAUGCAUAUGUAUAACAUGUAUUUGUGUAACACUUGAGCAAAACAAAGUGAAAAAGGGACUGCUAUAUGAUUUUCUUGAGUUGAUAUGUAAACUGUUAUAGAUCUAGCUAAAUGACAUGCUAUGUUGCUACCAUGACUGACUAUUAACAUGAUAGGUGUUGAUAUAUUAAGUUAUUGUGUUAAAAAUUCACUACUAUGAUAUGGCUAUGCUAAGAUGAACUAAACUUAGACAUAAGGAGAUAGGUGGGCUGUGGAGUAAUAAGGAGGUCAUAUUGGAUUGUUAAUAUAAACAAAUGGCAGAUAAUUUGCUAACAUAAAACUAUGUACACAACCUGCUUGAUAAAAGUCCCAAAUGGACUCUAUAUUACAUGUAUUGAGGAUUAAAAUGAUUUAGCAUGAUAAUUGCAAGCAAGAGCAUUUGGACUAAAAUAGUGGUUGAAAGUUUUGUUAUUAAAGCAACUUUAGGUACUGUUUUAGGUAUCAUGAUGGAGAUUUUAUAGAUACUUCAAUAAGUCAUGUGUAACAUAUCUAAAAAAAUGGUUGUAAACAAACAUGUGAAUUAAAAGUAAGAAGUUGGAGAACUAGGUGAUUUGGUCACAAAGCUGCUGCCAGUAGCAGCAGCAGUUGGUGUAGGGCCAGAGCUCUUUUCGAGCUCUCAGUUGGCAAGCUAGUAAAUUAAAUGUCAUCUUGAAUUGGCAAAUUCUUUGGGUUUGUAUAGAUUAUGAUAUCUUGUAAGCUAGCCUAGCAAAGGAAAUCUUGGUAAAGCACAAAACAAAUUCUAAACAAAACCAACUGUUAAAAAGUUAGCAUGUUCAACCCCUUUGCACACUGAUUUGAGUCAGACUAUGAAGAACUCAUAAGAAAUUAAUACUUCAUAUGUCAAAGCCAAAAGUGGCUGUCAACAUGAUGAAAGAUAGGGGACUAUUGGAGUACUAAAACAAACUGCUAGACACAGUUAGCCCUUAAUUACACUAUAGUAUAGUGAAGUUUUGAACCUUAGCACAUGAUAGUUUUGGCUAAAUUUGGUAGUAAGAAUCCUAGCUUAAUCAUUCCCUUGGUCCACUGUGUUGAGUAAUGGCUGAACCAGAGAGUCAAGUUUAAUAUCAUUUGAGAAGCCAAGGACUGCUAUAAUAAGGUAGCAAUGAGUAGUAAAUAUAGCAGUAGUACCAACCUUAAUCAAAUAGCAGCUGUCAUUGGCAACAGAAAUCAAGUAAUUGCAGUGCCAUAUUGACAACUAAGUAACCUUGCUGGCUUUCAUUUUUAUUGUGCUUUGAGUAAGUUAAGAAGUAGCAAGGUUUGAAGAUUAUCAUAUUGAGUUGUCAUUCAAGUAUAGUAACUGUUACCAAUAAACAAUAAGCAGUUGGUCUUCUCUUAACAGACCAAUAUGGUAAAACUACAAGAUUCCAGCUGUGAAUUAACUUGGGACAUAAUCAAAGGGGAGUCAUGGAGCUGCUAGGACAGUUUGGAAGCUAUAAUCUAAACAAGGCCAAAAGGAAGGGGGGCUACUACCUAUGAACAACAACAGUUGAUGGCAGGUUACUGCUAAUAUACUCUAUGUAACCACUUUGGUUGAGAAUUGAAAUCUUCAAGAAACUAAUCAUCAUGUGUAACUUGAGUAUGUGUGCUGAAAACAUAUAUACUACAUUUACAAGUUGAGAAUAAAAAUGUGAUAAAGAGGGAAGCAUAGGGCUGCUAACAGUUAGUUGCAAUAGGUAACCUCAACUAACUGCUAAUGCAGUGUUGAGCUUAUUAGACCUAGUUGAAGCUACAAGAGGGUGAACUUAUAUGAAUUAGAUAUAAUUCAAGUGUUGGAAUGAACUGAAGUGGCUAGAAAUAGUAAAUGUAAUUUGAUUUUUAAUACUUGUGGUAGGCAUGUUGAACCCCAUCAAAGUGAAAAAUGACUAGUGUGAAAGUAUGGAUGAGAUAUUUAAAAAAUGUAUCAAAUAUAGGAAAUCUAACCAUGAUCACUAAAAUUACAUGAUAUAUGAUUUGACUAUGUGGCUAACAUGCUUUAUUAAUGCAAAUAAUAAUAAUUUAAUUCCUAUUAUUUGAUUGUAAGUAUGUCUAACCCAUUAAAGAGAAGAUUGACUAAUACGUAAACAUGGAUGAGAUAUUUGAAAAUUGUAUGAAAUUAAGGAAUCUAACUACAAACUUGACCACUGAAUUAUGUGAUGUGUGAAUCUCCACAAACUAUGUGACUUGGCUAUUUGGCUAAUAGGCUUGUAAAUGCAAAUAAAUUGUGUAGGCUCUGUGAGAACAUAUUAAGCUAAAUCCUAUCAAUAGUCUACAAACAAGGCAAGUUUCUAACUCUUACUCUUUAUUGAGAAAUUAUUCUGCAGUGGACAUGUUCUUUAAUUUCUGAACUUUCUGUCCUUAUUUAUGAAUAAUAUAAGGUUAAAUAGCCUUUUUAUUCCAAUCAGCUUCAAAAAAAUAGAAUACCAACUUUUCUAUCUUGAAUGAGUUUACAUUGAAAGUAUGUCAAUACCAUUACUUCGGUUAGACAAUCGUUGAGAUAUAUUGAUAUUAUUCAUGAAGUUAUCAGUUAAUGCUUUCCAAACCAUUUUGUUGUAUGGAUUCUUAUAUAAUGCUGUGAACGAACAACCCUUUUAUAGUGGAAUAUUGUACCGGACAUAUGAUUCCGAAGGACAUGUAAAGUGUCAUUAGACUCUUAUGUUGUGCACAAUAUAGGGUACUUAGGCGGAUCCCCUAAAGUACGACUCUAUGAAAUAAAACAAAUUUUAUAAAUUGUAUAUAUCCAUGGAGUUUAGUAUUAUUACUAUCAAUUCUAGUAAAGAGUUCACUGGUCAUUUGACCUUACAGCAUGCUAAAGUCUAAUUUUUCAGACUCAACACUUUUAAAGAAUUAUCUUGUUCAGUAUUUAUUAUUGAAUCCUCAUUGAUAUAAUAUUUCUGUUCCAUUAUAUUUAGCUGCUUAUUUCCUUGCUGAGCAAGCUUGUUGCUCACCCUUGCGUUAAAUAUAAUGUUUUCAGUUAUGAAUGAAGUUGUUGGUCCAUUGGUAAAGACAAAGGAAAAGGCAAAGUUGUGG